CUACAGGCGGCACCAGUGAGGAAUUUUGCGCAAUGGGGGAAACCCUGACGCAGCAACGCCGCGUGAGCGAAGAAGGCCUUCGGGUCGUAAAGCUCUGUCAAGUGGGAAAAAAAUUCUUUGAUGAACAGUCAAAGGACUUGAUGGUACCACUGGAGGAAGCACCGGCUAACUCCGUGCCAGCAGCCGCGGUAAUACGGAGGGUGCAAGCGUUGUUCGGAAUUACUGGGCGUAAAGAGCGUGUAGGCGGUUUGACAAGUCAGAUGUGAAAGCCCCGGGCUCAACCCGGGAAGUGCAUUUGAAACUGUUUCACUAGAGUAUGGGAGAGGAGAUUGGAAUUCCUGGUGUAGAGGUGAAAUUCGUAGAUAUCAGGAGGAACACCCGUGGCGAAGCCGAUUCUCUGGACCAAUACUGACGCUGAGACGCGAAAGCGUGGGGAGCAAACAGGAUUAGAUACCCUAGUAGUC
Molecule: ribosomal RNA, 464 nt
Filed under: uncultured bacterium
Lineage: Bacteria
Description: partial 16S ribosomal RNA
Rfam family: Bacterial small subunit ribosomal RNA
Source: RNAcentral